Ruditapes philippinarum (Manila clam) is the source of this 606-nucleotide long non-coding RNA. RefSeq lists it as uncharacterized. Lineage: Eukaryota; Metazoa; Mollusca; Bivalvia; Venerida; Veneridae. The record is from RefSeq and is a predicted model, not a curated record. The transcript is spliced from 3 exons.
GCAGUAAAUGGAGAAUUAAUAGCCUUAGUCUUUUUGUUCUACUAAUUGACCACUUUAAAUGAUAACAGGUCCUGGUUUUAUAAAUGGUGUAACAUGGGACACAGAUGUUUGACCAUCUCCUGGACAUAUUAAUCUCAAAUCUGCAUCUUAUUUAAGUCCAGUUUGAUCUUAGCCAAAAAAAUUAGUCAUGCUUUUUUCAUCAGUAACUAGAUUAUUCCACUUAAGAACAUAUUCUAUGAUUAAGUUUUUGAUUGCCUGCUUGUUUUGUUUAUUUCCAGGGAAUUAAGUUAGAUGCAAAAGACAUUGAACAGAGAUUGGACAGAUACUGAGCUAUUUUUUAAGGCAUACCAUGAAUAUCUCCACUACCAAGGAAUACACCAGGGAAGAUGCAGCAAAAUGGCUUUCCCCUGUCAGCAUAAAACAAAGAUAAAAGAUGUCUAAAGAUCAAAGAAAAACAUCAAAGGGUCCACCCCUAAUUAGUGAAUUCGAUAUAUGACAUUACUGCAUGUUUCCGGUCUGUUGAACUCCGGCUUAUGUCUCUGGUACUGUGUUUAUGUCUGUAGUAGGCAGGUUUGGUAGCGCAGGUCGCGGGGUGAUUUGGAGCAA